UGUCUAAUGGCAAGAGUACACUGAGU
This 26-nucleotide non-coding RNA is filed under the name Homo sapiens (human). Lineage: Eukaryota; Metazoa; Chordata; Mammalia; Primates; Hominidae. The record is from RNAcentral.